Sinocyclocheilus anshuiensis is the source of this 1800-nucleotide long non-coding RNA. Ensembl lists it as uncharacterized. The record is from Ensembl. Lineage: Eukaryota; Metazoa; Chordata; Actinopteri; Cypriniformes; Cyprinidae.
GACCAAUGAGCGUUCGAGCUCCGGCAGCUAUGGCGUCUGUGCCCCGUCUGCUGAUUUGCAACCCGCCGAAAUAGAAUCGGUGAAGAAGGAGACCUUCGGUCGGUUCGCCAUGGACUGUUCUAGGAUCAGUAAGGUUUAAAUACGACUCUAACCAUAGAGCGAUACAAAGUUGCGUUAAAAAGCUGGUCAUCACUGUGCUUGUGAGAGGGAAAAAGAUGGAUCCGUCUGCAGGAAUGCACAUGUCUGCUGUUCCCCAGAACAAUGAAGUGGUCCACGUCUCUGUCGGUAACCCCAUUAUAACCAUGUAUCAGCCGCAACCACAACCUCCAAACAUCGCACAAAUCAUCACACAGCACGUGGUACCUCAAGAAGUCUCCUGUCAGGCUAUACCGCACAUGAUCCCAUCGCACAUCCAAAUGCCAAUUCACAUCCAGACUCAGUCUCACAUCCAGCCUGCUCCACAUCUGCAGACUCUACCGCAAGGCCACAUGGAAGCACAGUCUUAUAUUCCGACCCAAGACCACGUGUCAACACAAGGUCCAUCAGAGGACCAGAGUGCCGCGCCGUCUCAAGAUGGUGCAGUGAACUCACUGCAAGUCCCUUUUGCAGAUGUAGCCUCCCUGCUGGACCCUAACAUGAAGAGCUCAAAGGCUCGCAAAUACCAGAUCCAUUACGACGAGGUGAAGAGGAGAUUGGAACCACCUGAGAAGAUGUCUCUCCGAUCUCUGGCUGCCUAUACAAGAGUGAGUCGAGGUCCGGCUAGUAAGAAAACACUCUUGGAGUCUCUAAAUGUCUUUGGUCUGUCACCAAGCACCAAUACAGCAGUGUCCAGUUCCUUUUCCAAACUAACUGAAGGUGACACAGCUGCCCUUUGCAAAGACAUGAAGGAUUUUGCACUGCAAUAUGUCGAUUAUGAGAAUAUGGCGAAACAGUUGCUACCUGAAACAAACCAAGUGCAGCACUGGUCAAAAAUCAUUGAAACAAGGAAUUAUCUAGAGGAGAUGAGGAAGAUUUUUAAUGACCCGCUGAAUACACGUUUGUUCUCCAGUGUUACACAUGGUCUUGGUAACGGCAUGAUGGACGUGGCUCUCAAUAUCAUAGAUACCGUCAUCGACCGACAAAUCCGAAUCCUCUCAGGGAACACCGACCCCAAACCCGAACCUCCGGUGAAAAGGAUAAGGAAACGCAACCGCAAGCCCAAAGCCGCCACUGAAGACGGCAAACCUAAAGAAAAGGGCAAAAGGGGACGGAAGAAAGGGAAACAGAUGCGGCUGGAUUCUGUUGUUCCUGAGGUUCAACAAUCCUCAGAGAUGGAGAGCAGCAUGUUAACGCUAGUCUCUGUAGGAUACGAAACCAUUUCCAGUGGACUUAACCCCACCAAUGCAGGUCUUGCGUAACAUCACAUGCCUGAAAGGUGCAGAGAGACACUGUGAAUUCUGAGUGCAAAAAGUUUUUCAUAGAAAAUUUUAGUUUUAUAAAUGUUAGACUUCUCUCCUUCUCUCAAGACUGGCUAUAUUUUGUUUAUUUUUUUCUCACAAUCUGGUCAAUCAAGAAAAUAAUGUAGGUCUGAGAGGAUGUUGGCAGAGAUGUUUUGAUUUAAACCAAUCAUGUAUUGCCCUCAACCUUUUGUUUUGCCAUUUGUGGCAAAGAACAAAUGUACACAGACAAUUUUGUUUUUCAAGCACUAUGUUGUAUUUUCAUAAAAUGGUCACAAUAUCAGUUUCUGUUAGUCUCAUUUUAGAAUUUUAUCUCUGAAGUGUUUUUUGAUUCUGUUGUACUUAAUCUUACAAACUCCAAGCA